UCCAUGGUGGCUCAGUGGUAAAGAAUCUGCCUGCCAAUGCAGGAGACUCGGGUUCAAUCCCUGACCCAGGAA
This 72-nucleotide transfer RNA is filed under the name Ovis aries (sheep). It matches the Rfam family "tRNA". From Rfam's summary of the family: Transfer RNA (tRNA) molecules are approximately 80 nucleotides in length. Their secondary structure includes four short double-helical elements and three loops (D, anti-codon, and T loops). Lineage: Eukaryota; Metazoa; Chordata; Mammalia; Artiodactyla; Bovidae. The record is from Rfam by way of RNAcentral.